GUCGAACGGUAGAGGGGGCAACCCCUUGAGAGUGGCGAACGGGUCAUUAAUAUAUCCGAACGUGCCCCGUCGUGGGGGAUAACGUAGUGGAAAUUACGCUAAUACCGCAUACGAUCUAUGGAUGAAAGCGGGGGAUCGCAAGACCUCCCGCGAUUGGAGCGGCCGAUAUCAGAUUAGGUAGUUGGUGAGGUAAAGGCUCACCAAGCCGACGAUCUGUAGCUGGUCUGAGAGGACGACCAGCCACACUGGAACUGAGACACGGUCCAGACUCCUACGGGAGGCAGCCGUGGGGAAUUUUGGACAAUGGACGCAAGUCUGAUCCAGCCAUUCCGCGUGCAGGACGAAGGCCUUCGGGUUGUAAACUGCUUUUGUACAGAACGAAAAGGUCUCUAUUAAUACUAGGGGCUCAUGACGGUACUGUAAGAAUAAGCACCGGCUAACUACGUGCCAGCAGCCGCGGUAAUACGUAGGGUGCAAGCGUUAAUCGGAAUUACUGGGCGUAAAGCGUGCGCAGGCGGUUAUAUAAGACAGAUGUGAAAUCCCCGGGCUCAACCUGGGAACUGCAUUUGUGACUGUAUAGCUGGAGUGCGGCAGAGGGGGAUGGAAUUCCGCGUGUAGCAGUGAAAUGCGUAGAUAUGCGGAGGAACACCGAUGGCGAAGGCAAUCCCCUGGGCCUGCACUGACGCUCAUGCACGAAAGCGUGGGGAGCAAACAGGAUUAGAUACCCUGGUAGUCCACGCCCUAAACGAUGUCAACUGGUUGUUGGGUCUUCACUGACUCAGUAACGAAGCUAACGCGUGAAGUUGACCGCCUGGGGAGUACGGC
This 825-nucleotide ribosomal RNA is filed under the name uncultured Burkholderiales bacterium. RNAcentral's name for it is "bacterial SSU rRNA". It matches the Rfam family "Bacterial small subunit ribosomal RNA", at positions 61 to 886 of the family's 1533-position model. Lineage: Bacteria; Pseudomonadati; Pseudomonadota; Betaproteobacteria; Burkholderiales. The record is from RNAcentral.